Molecule: ribosomal RNA, 774 nt
Filed under: uncultured Neocallimastigales
Lineage: Eukaryota; Fungi; Neocallimastigomycota; Neocallimastigomycetes; Neocallimastigales
Description: partial large subunit ribosomal RNA
Rfam family: Eukaryotic large subunit ribosomal RNA
Source: RNAcentral
CGUCUAUAUACGUAUAGCAUAUCAAUAAGCGGAGGAAAAGAAACUAACUAGGAUUCCCUCAGUAACGGCGAGUGAAGCGGGAAGAGCUCAAAUUUGAAAUCUUCAAGGUUCUACCUUGACGAAUUGUAGUUUAAAGAAGUGUUUUCUGUUGGAGUUUUGGUAAAAGUUCUUUGGAAUAGGACAUCAUAGAGGGUGAGAAUCCCGUAUUUGACCAUUAUUUCCAACUUUGUGAUACACUUUCAAAGAGUCGGAUUGUUUGGGAAUGCAGUCCAAAAUGGGUGGUAAAUUUCAUCUAAAGCUAAAUAUUGGCGAGAGACCGAUAGCGAACAAGUACCGUGAGGGAAAGAUGAAAAGAACUUCGAAAAGAGAGUUAAACAGUACGUGAAAUUGUCAAAAGGGGAGCGUUUGACACCAGUGUUGUUUUCUCGAAAAUCAAUUAAAAAUGGUGGGAUUUUGUGUUGUAUUGACUUUAUCAGCUUUCUGCACUCUUUUCUUGUCUUUUUUAAUGCACUUUUCGUUUAACAAGUCAACAUCAAUUUCUUUUGCUGUAAAAGGGUCAUUGGAAGGUGGCUUUCUUUUCGGAGAAAGUGUUUAUAGCCUUUGACUUCUGCAAUCGGAGAGAUUGAGGUCUGCAGCGUAGAUCCUUCGGGGUUAGAUACAUUUGUGCUAAGUUAUAGCCUUUCAUAGACAACUUGUUGACUAUGAUCAGUCAUGUAGCUUACUCGCUUAUGUUAUUUUACCUACGCUUAGGAUGUUGACGAUCAGCUGAGCGCG